Molecule: small nuclear RNA, 104 nt
Filed under: Myotis davidii
Lineage: Eukaryota; Metazoa; Chordata; Mammalia; Chiroptera; Vespertilionidae
Source: RNAcentral
UUAUAGAAGUAUUUAGUUAAAAAAAAAUUGGAACGAUACAGAGAAGAUUAGCAUGGUCCCUGCACAAGGAUGUCAUGCAAAUUCAUGAAGCAUUCUGUAGGAGA